GACGAACGCUGGCGGCGUGCUUAACACAUGCAAGUCGAACGGAAAGGCCCUGCUUUUGUGGGGUGCUCGAGUGGCGAACGGGUGAGUAACACGUGAGUAGCCUGCCCUUGACUUUGGGAUAACUUCAGGAAACUGGGGCUAAUACCGGAUAGGAGCUCCUGCUGCAUGGUGGGGGUUGGAAAGUUUCGGCGGUUGGGGAUGGACUCGCGGCUUAUCAGCUUGUUGGUGGGGUAGUGGCUUACCAAGGCUUUGACGGGUAGCCGGCCUGAGAGGGUGACCGGCCACAUUGGGACUGAGAUACGGCCCAGACUCCUACGGGAGGCAGCAGUGGGGAAUAUUGCACAAUGGGCGGAAGCCUGAUGCAGCAACGCCGCGUGCGGGAUGACGGCCUUCGGGUUGUAAACCGCUUUCGCCUGUGACGAAGCGUGAGUGACGGUAAUGAGUAAAGAAGCACCGGCUAACUACGUG
This 468-nucleotide ribosomal RNA is filed under the name uncultured bacterium. RNAcentral's name for it is "partial 16S ribosomal RNA". It matches the Rfam family "Bacterial small subunit ribosomal RNA", at positions 28 to 507 of the family's 1533-position model. The record is from RNAcentral.